This 1992-nucleotide long non-coding RNA is filed under the name Capra hircus (goat). RNAcentral describes it as "lncRNA (ENSCHIG00010007380.1)". Lineage: Eukaryota; Metazoa; Chordata; Mammalia; Artiodactyla; Bovidae. The record is from RNAcentral.
GUUCGUGCAAGCAUUAGGACAAAAAUUGUUCAGAUCUUUUGGUUUCAAAACCUAAAAGCACACAGAGGGACGUAUGAUAUCAACAUGGAUAUAUGAUGGUUUUAAUGGAAAGACACUAAGAGUAUUUACCUGGCUUUUUGAAUGAAUAUCCAUCAUCUCCAAUGAAAUAGAACUGUUUUGGAACACUUUUAAAAGUAUUUUUUAAAGUAUGUAUUUCAGAUUUUAUAAUUCUGCCUACUCAAAUACAGAUGUGGUGGGUACAAAUGUGAGUCACAUACUUAAGUGUGUACAAGAGUGACUUUGAUUCUUUUUAUAAUCAAACUUAAUUUUUCUCACACCACCCUAUUUGGUCUGACUCAGGAAUUUAAUUUAGUCCCUUCCAGAAUCUGCCUGCAAUAUGGGAAACCUGGGUUUGAUCCCUAGGUUGGGAAGAUUUCUGGAGAAAUGAAAGUGAUCAGCUACCCACUCCAGUAUUCUGGCCUGGAGAAUUCCAUGAACUAUGUCCAUGGGGUCACAAAGAGUUGGACAUGACUGAGCGACUUUUACUCACACAGUCACAGGGGUUGGAGAAGGAAGAUUCCUACUUUUACUUUGCCUAGAGUUGUGGGAAUUUCAUAGCAGCAAAUGCUUGCUCCUGACCAACUAUGGUGCUUAGGCAGUGUUUAGUAGCUGAGCAGUUGCCAGAGCCAGACACAAUCUACCUACUAACAAACUCUUAAAGUAGGAAUGACAGUCAGUGGGCGGGCAUUUCCACAACCCAUCUGGAGAAGAAAGAAAAUAGGAGGCAACAGUCUUACUUUUGCAAAAUUUUGACCUCUGCCUUGAAAAAGCAUCCUUAUAUAUAAAAAUCACAUACAGAAUUGCCUGGACUGUCUAAAACAUUGUCAAGAUUCAGAAACUAAGUAACAUGGAAGUACUAAAAAUAGUUAUAGUUAACUCACAAAGGCCCCUGUGUCUCUUGUUUUGAGUGUAUUACUCUAACUUUACAUUUGAUUUUAAGUGUAUUAAUUGGUAUGGUUGUUGGAUUUUAAAGUAGCCCCUGUGAUCUCUAUCUCCUGGUAACUUGGCCUUGUAUAAUUCCUUCCCCCUUGAAUUUGGACAGGACAAGUGACUUGCUUCUAACUAGUAGAACAUGACUAAGGUGUUAGGAUAUGUUUCCUGUGAUUAUGUUAUGUAAGAUUCCAUCUUGCUAGAAGAUUUAAUUUAAGAGUCUUACUCUCCUUUUUGCUGGCUUUGAAGAAGCGAGCCAUGGUGAUUCCUACAGACAGGAAAUGCUGCAGACCAGCUGCUAACAGCCUCUAAGCUCAGCAGUGGACCUUUCCCUAGAGAGCCACCAGAUGAGAACCCAACCCUGGCUGGCACUUUGCAGUCUUUCAGAGGACCCAGCUAAGGCAUGCCCAGACCUCUGACCUAUAAAAAUUGUGAGAUAAUGGAUGUGUAUUGUUUUUAGCCUUUAAUUUUGUAAUAGUUUGUUACAGAGCAUAGCAAACUAACACAGUUUGUUUCUUAAGCUGUAAGAGAGAGGUAUUGCUACAUGAAUCAGGUAUUGAUAGCAACGAGAAACAAUUGACAAAUAGUAUAAUUAAACAAUAAGUGGUGUUCAUAGUUAUCACUCUGAGCCCACAAGCAGAAGAUAUAUCAUGUAAAAUCCAUUCUGUCAAGAAGGUAGAGGUCUACGUAAUACAGACAUGAAAAAAUUCAGAAUCAUUAAUGUAGCAUUAGGUAAUGUUUGACCAUGGAUCUUGGAAUUAUUUGAGAUUUGAUAUUUAGUGUAGGUUUAAUUCAAAGGGAUCAUAAAAUAAAUAUCUAUGAUCAAAGAGUUACAUAUGCCUUUCUCACAAUGUGAUAUGUCAGAAUGCUUAUAGAAUCUGAAGUGAGAAUUUUAACAUGAAUAAAUACUUGAGCUAAAAAUUCAAGUUUCACUUACUUCCAUGUAACCUGUGGACAAUUUGGCCUUUGUUUCCAAGAAGGAAAGGUACCAGGAAUUGGAAG